GGAGCCUCGUGCUGGUUGCGGAAAGCUAAGCCCACACCCGUCGUCUUCCACCUGGGGUUGCUGCCAAUCCAACAGGACACGGCUCACCGCGUUGGACAGGGAAGCUUCCUACCCAGUCACGUAGAAGAAUAUUAAACGUUUUCAUAAUGUGUCCACACAUGUUUUGCUUCUCCAAGAGAUGACAGCUCAGAUUUCAGAAACCGUGGUGACCUUAUUUUGUGACUUUGUGUUCUCUUUGCUGAGCCGAUGACCCACUUGCAAAGCAAAGGUGCAAAUUGCAAGUGAACAUCCCCAACAGCGGUUCCUUUUCUGUUUUUCACUCUGCUGGAAAUCUGUUGAAAUAAAGAGUGUCAACACAGCACCUCUCAGUGCGGGCUAACUGGAUUGAACUGGACAGCGUUCUAUUCAUUGGAAAUCAUUAGGCAAUUCAAGAGGGAAGAAAACGGAAAAGAAAAGAAAAACAUCGCCCCAUCACAAAAAUAACUUGAGAAUUGUGCAGUCUGCCAGCAUAUUGGAUAUUUGUGUUGAACUUGCUUUCAGUACUCGGCUAAAUUUACCACACCCUACCUCCAAAGCCCUUGCUCCCUUCCUUUUGAAUAGCAAAGUAAUGAGAACUAGAAAAGCUUUUGUGUCUUUGGCAAAGUUGAAGGUAACUGUUUCCACUAAAUCCUGCAAAGGUGAGGAUGCGAGAGGGAAAUCCACCAAUUCAUUUCGCUUUUGUUACCUGUUCAUGAAAAGCUACCUUCUGGGGGUGAGACCAUGUUUGAUACGAGAUGCUGCCUGAACUCAGUAUAUUUGGCUGACAAUAUAAUUUUAGUGAACAGAUUAUCAAAUUGCUCAAAUGCAUAUGGAACUACCAUGGACCUUCACGCCGUAAGAACGGUUUCCCAAAGCAAAUAAUUUUGCUGUUGUUGUUUUGGUUUGGUUUGAUUUUUUUGCAGAUGGAGCCACCUGGUCUCAAGUUUCCUCCUGAGAAAACUCGCUUCCCCAUUGAACACAAUGCGCAGGUGUUCCAGGGAACUUCAGUGUGGGAGACUUUUACUGACGGUCCGCUAGCUGUCACACACUUUUCUUGCAUCUUCAUGUCGUGUUGCACACAGCUCUGUCCGGCUGACAUCAACUUGGCUCCGCUGGGAAGAAGUCACUGCACAGGGAAGGGAGGGGCUGGCCAGGCUGCCCAGCUGGUAAGU
This 1190-nucleotide long non-coding RNA is filed under the name Marmota monax (woodchuck). Lineage: Eukaryota; Metazoa; Chordata; Mammalia; Rodentia; Sciuridae. The record is from RNAcentral.